GCCUUCGUCGUGCAGUGGUCAGCACGCUCGACACGCAUUCAAGAGGUCCGUCGUUCGAGUCCCGACGAAGGCA
This is a non-coding RNA of Stegodyphus mimosarum, 73 nucleotides long. NCBI's taxonomy places the organism in Eukaryota, Metazoa, Arthropoda, Arachnida, Araneae, Eresidae. The record is from Rfam.